CGACGCCGUUUCUUCUAACCGUCGACCUCGCCCACCUCGCCAUCACCCUGCGAACUUCCUCCUUCAACUCUUUUCAACGUUUUCAAACACCCCGAACGACAAAACCACCGCUUCAUUCUUCAUCAGUUCACGCAGACCACCGCCACCACUACCACCACUUCAGCCAAAUCCGACGAAGGGCGCCACUACACACGUGUGAAUCUUCCUGCGCCACCAGUCUCCGCAACGUUUUCCGAAGCCCGCUUGACUGAAGGCACGAAGCCUAGAGAGAGUUUUCGUCUGCACCAUUAAGUAAAAGAUUCGAUAUGUUCACUCUGGACUCUGGAGACUCUGGAUGGCAUCUGUGUAGCCAUUAAAGGGUUCAUAAACGAGCAGAACACUAUUGAAAACAGGAUUCCGUCUGAGGCACAAAGCCUGGAGAGAUUUUUUGUCUGCACCAAUAAGUAAAAGGUUCAAUAUUUUCACUAUGGACUCUGGAGACUGGAUGGGAUCUGUGUAGCCGUUAAAAGGUUCAUAAACCAGCAGAACAGUAUUAAAAACGGGAUUCCGUCUGAGGUAGUACUCGAUAUUUGCUGAUUUUGGUUGAAUUUGUGAAUGUAGUUAACUUUUGAAUGUUUUUUGGUACAAAUUUAGUUUCGAAUUUUGGGUUUGCCUGGAUAUGUUGAAAAAUAUACCCAUUUGAGAGUGUUGUGGACUCACAGAUGCUGUAGGUGCUGAGUUUUGGGAACUGUCUAUUAAUUCAGAUUCAUAUUGGGAUAUUGAUACUUUGAACAAUCAAUUAGUGGUAACUUACUAUAUUAGCUAUGAAUAUUGUCAUUAAGUAUAAUUAUGGAGAAUGUAAAAUUAUCCUUUUGUUGGUUUUACAAGCAUAAGUGAAUGAUGAGCACUGAACCCAGCAAAACUUUGCUUUUCAGCAAAAAUUUUAACAUAGGGGAGACAUUGGUGUUUUCUUGUAUGUACUUACUGUCGGAUGAUAAAAUUUUGGGAUUUUUUUAUUGUUUCAUUGGUGCACUAUUGUUGCGAUGGCGUCUGGGGAUGCGUACCUACAACAUCAGGUGGUUGGGUAUGUUUUUUGUCUCAGAAAAGUUUGUUCUGUAAUAUGAAAUACAUGAUUAAUAAUGUAGUUUUAUUUUUGUUCUGUUAAGGCACCAAGUCCCAACUCAGGUUUACAAUCUGUUAACUCCCCUACAAAACGGAUCAACAAUAAUGAAUUCAUUUUUAGUUUCUGUGCCAAGUUUGAAUAUGAGCGUCACUGUUCAUCCCGCAGACUUAGGAUUAAAUUUGGCCCAAAAAAUUAGUGUUGAAACGGGAGAAGACCUGAACCAAUUAGUAAUGGUAACACAUGGUUAUCAUAUUAUGCGUCAUAUAGAAUUAGGAGAAAUUCCGGGGAUUAAAGAUUAUAGAGAUAUAGAUAUAGGGUCAAUGAUUAUUUGAAUGGAUCCAUAUCCUCUGUACCCAGCUGAGUCAACAAUUAGAUACACACUAUUUAUGGAUGUACCAGUAGCUAGUGAUAGGUUGUCUGUAGAAAUAUUUAGCAGUUUGAACUAAUGGGCUGUUGAAUAUUUUGGGACUCCUGCUAGCUUUAGUUUGAGAGACAGAGAGGGUGUGGUGGUGACCCACCUGCAGUCACCCAACAACCGUCCUCCAGCACCCUUCCCACCUCAGCAGCCCCAGCAUCCCACUCUAGCUCCCUCCCCACCUCACCAGAUGAAUGACCGCCAACCUUGCAUGGCCCUUCGACAUAGAUACACACUAAUUAUGGAUGUACCAAUAGCUAGUGAUAGGUUGUCUGUAGAAAUACUUAGCAGUUUGAAUGAAUGGGCUGUUGGAUACUUUGGGACUCCCGCUAGGUUUAGUUUGAGAGAUAAGAAGUGUUUGGCGGUGACCCACCCACAGCCUCUCAACAACCAUCCUCCCGAUCGACGACUGCCUACCCCGCCUGGUCCGAUGACGUAGCCCCCCCGUCUUGCUGAAAAGGUGAGAGAAAACUAAAGGACCACUAAAGGUAUUAACAGCCAAGUCAGGAGAAGAAGAUUGUCAUGAUACAUAGACAACCAAACUAAAA
Molecule: long non-coding RNA, 2065 nt
Organism: Pyrus x bretschneideri (Chinese white pear)
Lineage: Eukaryota; Viridiplantae; Streptophyta; Magnoliopsida; Rosales; Rosaceae
Exons: 5
Source: RefSeq, a predicted model, not a curated record